RNAcentral lists this ribosomal RNA (1952 nucleotides) under Escherichia coli. Its description in RNAcentral is "partial 23S ribosomal RNA". It matches the Rfam family "Bacterial large subunit ribosomal RNA", at positions 161 to 2136 of the family's 2925-position model. The record is from RNAcentral. Lineage: Bacteria; Pseudomonadati; Pseudomonadota; Gammaproteobacteria; Enterobacterales; Enterobacteriaceae.
AAUCCAUAGGUUAAUGAGGCGAACCGGGGGAACUGAAACAUCUAAGUACCCCGAGGAAAAGAAAUCAACCGAGAUUCCCCCAGUAGCGGCGAGCGAACGGGGAGGAGCCCAGAGCCUGAAUCAGUGUGUGUGUUAGUGGAAGCGUCUGGAAAGGCGCGCGAUACAGGGUGACAGCCCCGUACACAAAAAUGCACAUGCUGUGAGCUCGAUGAGUAGGGCGGGACACGUGGUAUCCUGUCUGAAUAUGGGGGGACCAUCCUCCAAGGCUAAAUACUCCUGACUGACCGAUAGUGAACCAGUACCGUGAGGGAAAGGCGAAAAGAACCCCGGCGAGGGGAGUGAAAAAGAACCUGAAACCGUGUACGUACAAGCAGUGGGAGCACAGAGCAAUCUGUGUGACUGCGUACCUUUUGUAUAAUGGGUCAGCGACUUAUAUUCUGUAGCAAGGUUAACCGAAUAGGGGAGCCGAAGGGAAACCGAGUCUUAACUGGGCGUUAAGUUGCAGGGUAUAGACCCGAAACCCGGUGAUCUAGCCAUGGGCAGGUUGAAGGUUGGGUAACACUAACUGGAGGACCGAACCGACUAAUGUUGAAAAAUUAGCGGAUGACUUGUGGCUGGGGGUGAAAGGCCAAUCAAACCGGGAGAUAGCUGGUUCUCCCCGAAAGCUAUUUAGGUAGCGCCUCGUGAAUUCAUCUCCGGGGGUAGAGCACUGUUUCGGCAAGGGGGUCAUCCCGACUUACCAACCCGAUGCAAACUGCGAAUACCGGAGAAUGUUAUCACGGGAGACACACGGCGGGUGCUAACGUCCGUCGUGAAGAGGGAAACAACCCAGACCGCCAGCUAAGGUCCCAAAGUCAUGGUUAAGUGGGAAACGAUGUGGGAAGGCCCAGACAGCCAGGAUGUUGGCUUAGAAGCAGCCAUCAUUUAAAGAAAGCGUAAUAGCUCACUGGUCGAGUCGGCCUGCGCGGAAGAUGUAACGGGGCUAAACCAUGCACCGAAGCUGCGGCAGCGACACUAUGUGUUGUUGGGUAGGGGAGCGUUCUGUAAGCCUGUGAAGGUGUGCUGUGAGGCAUGCUGGAGGUAUCAGAAGUGCGAAUGCUGACAUAAGUAACGAUAAAGCGGGUGAAAAGCCCGCUCGCCGGAAGACCAAGGGUUCCUGUCCAACGUUAAUCGGGGCAGGGUGAGUCGACCCCUAAGGCGAGGCCGAAAGGCGUAGUCGAUGGGAAACAGGUUAAUAUUCCUGUACUUGGUGUUACUGCGAAGGGGGGACGGAGAAGGCUAUGUUGGCCGGGCGACGGUUGUCCCGGUUUAAGCGUGUAGGCUGGUUUUCCAGGCAAAUCCGGAAAAUCAAGGCUGAGGCGUGAUGACGAGGCACUACGGUGCUGAAGCAACAAAUGCCCUGCUUCCAGGAAAAGCCUCUAAGCAUCAGGUAACAUCAAAUCGUACCCCAAACCGACACAGGUGGUCAGGUAGAGAAUACCAAGGCGCUUGAGAGAACUCGGGUGAAGGAACUAGGCAAAAUGGUGCCGUAACUUCGGGAGAAGGCACGCUGAUAUGUAGGUGAAGCGACUUGCUCGUGGAGCUGAAAUCAGUCGAAGAUACCAGCUGGCUGCAACUGUUUAUUAAAAACACAGCACUGUGCAAACACGAAAGUGGACGUAUACGGUGUGACGCCUGCCCGGUGCCGGAAGGUUAAUUGAUGGGGUCAGCGCAAGCGAAGCUCUUGAUCGAAGCCCCGGUAAACGGCGGCCGUAACUAUAACGGUCCUAAGGUAGCGAAAUUCCUUGUCGGGUAAGUUCCGACCUGCACGAAUGGCGUAAUGAUGGCCAGGCUGUCUCCACCCGAGACUCAGUGAAAUUGAACUCGCUGUGAAGAUGCAGUGUACCCGCGGCAAGACGGAAAGACCCCGUGAACCUUUACUAUAGCUUGACACUGAACAUUGAGCCUUGAUG